Molecule: ribosomal RNA, 253 nt
Filed under: uncultured bacterium
Lineage: Bacteria
Description: partial 16S ribosomal RNA
Rfam family: Bacterial small subunit ribosomal RNA
Source: RNAcentral
UACGUAUGGUGCAAGCGUUAUCCGGAUUUACUGGGUGUAAAGGGAGCGUAGACGGCUGUGCAAGUCUGAAGUGAAAGGCCGGGGCCCAACCCCGGGAGUGCUUUGGAAACUGUGCGGCUAGAAUGUCGGAGAGGCAAGUGGAAUUCCCAGUGUAGCGGUGAAAUGCGUAGAUAUUGGGAGGAACACCAGUGGCGAAGGCGUCUUGCUGGACGAUGACUGACGUUGAGGCUCGAAAGCGUGGGGAGCAAACAGG